GAAAGCCCAGUCUUGACCUAUUGAGUUUAAUUACCAUGGCUAUUCUAAAGUCAAUAUUUAUCAAGCCAGGAUACUUGACUCUCACUUUUGGUAGGUGAUUCCUCCUGUCAGCUUUUUAUUUUUUUAUUUUUUUACUUAACAGUCCCCAUUUCAUUGCUAAAUCAAUUCUAUUUCCAAGAGAAAUGCAAUAAGCCUUAUGUUGUUUGCUGCUAAAGCGUAUUCCUUGCAAAUAAAAAAUAUCUCAAAUAUCAGAUGAAUGGAUAUACCAAUUUAAAUAACAGUUUAAGUUACUUCUUUCUUUUUUCCCCUUAUCAAAACUUCACUGGUCUUCUUUAAGUUCCUUUAGAGUCUAUUAAAAUGACUAAGUCGUUAUUAGGAUCGCUCACCAAAGUGAUGAGAAUGCUAGCCAGUGAAUCCUUCUUAGCUUUUGGUCAAGCAGGAAUUAGCUACUCGCUGAUUCCAUUCUCUACUCUACAGAGCUCUUUACUGAAUACUGCAUUUUUACAUUUCACAUAAUAGUUAUCACUGAGCAUUUAAAAAGGCUCUUAGAUAAAGGGAAGAUCAAUUUACCCCUCUGUCACACACCAACAGAGUGUAGCCGGUAGAGGAAUUUACAACAGACUUACAGACUAUUCAACAUGCUCCAUUUUACCUCUCUUUUCUAUCCUUCCCAUUAAAAAAAAAAAAAAAGACAGGGUCUUAUGUGUUCCAAGGUAGCUUUAAACUCAUUGUGUAGAAGAUGGCUUUGAACUCCCAAUCCUUCUGCCUCUAUGUGCUUAGUGGUGAGCUUACAGUUAUGAGCCACCAUGUCCGGCCAGUUAUCUUCUUUCUAAAGUGUGCAAGCUCCAUGCCGGCAUAUGCGAAAGUUCUUUUCUACCUAGAUAGACCUCCCUAUCAAGGCCAAUCUGCAAGGUCUUCUUUCCAAGCAGUUGAUCACCGAAUUCCUAUUGGCAAUAAAAAUUCCCAGAAUACCUGGGAGAACAUAAAUUCACCAAGCAGCAGGGUAAUUCCCCAUAAGCAACAUCACCUUUUCUGGCCUUCCUACCACUGAGACCCUAGGAGGGAGGAUCUAGAAAGAGCAAUGGCAGCCUGAACACAGAAAAUAUCUCCAUUAGCAGACCCCUCUUCAGCGACAACCCCCCCCCCCCAGCCUCAUGCUUCACUUGCAAAGUGUGACAUUACCACGGGACGAGUGCCUUGCUUGAACCAAAGCAACGAUUUAGCCAGUCUGGACCUCUCUGUGCUUUUCUUAAUUCUUCCUGUGAUUACCUCAGCUUCAACUGGGCCUCCAAACAGUAAAUUGGUAGGCUUAUUGUACUGUGGUGCUUUGCAAUGCAACCCUGCAAAGAACAAGAUUUGUACUAAUACCAAAGGUUCUUUCUCUACGUCUCUUCCUUCUGCCUCCCCACUGUCCCCCCUUUUCUAGUCCCUCACAGUUCCAAAGCUUUAACAUGAACCUGGGCAUGUUGGCAAUGCAGACCGCGCAAUUCCUUACCGAAUUUUCUCAGAUAUACCUCAUAGAUAAUAGUGUUUAGAGUAAUGUUAUUAUAGCGUAUGUAAUAAAUUAUUCACUGUUUCUUUUGGUAACUGUGAUUUAAAAAAAGAAAAAAGGAAAAAAAAAGCUUUAUACAGUUUAGGUUGUGCUUUUGUAAUAGAUGAAAAUGUGCGCUUAAAAAAAAAAGAAACAUACGUUCUUUUUAUUUUUCUUCUCCCCCCACCCCCUUUGGAUUUUAUUUAUUCUGGAUUGGGGAAAGUUGCAGAAUGAGCCCAAAGUUUACAGUUUCAUAUUUUGCUGAAGAAACAAUCUGUGUUCAUUUGCUCUGUU
This 1825-nucleotide long non-coding RNA is filed under the name Mus musculus (house mouse). Its description in RNAcentral is "long non-coding RNA chr18:64394902-64396727". Lineage: Eukaryota; Metazoa; Chordata; Mammalia; Rodentia; Muridae. The record is from RNAcentral.